Long non-coding RNA from Pogoniulus pusillus (Red-fronted tinkerbird), 381 nucleotides. RefSeq lists it as uncharacterized. Lineage: Eukaryota; Metazoa; Chordata; Aves; Piciformes; Lybiidae. The record is from RefSeq and is a predicted model, not a curated record. The transcript has 3 exons.
CAUACUGCAGACAUCACUGCUACCUUUGCAUGCAGGCUGAGAGCAGACAAGCAUUCAGUGGAUAAGGAACUGCUGCAAGAACAUUGGGGCUGUAGAGGGCAAUGUGUAAGCAGUUUAGAGGGGAAAAGGCUGAGAUGAUGCCCUCCAGCUCUGCGUGCCUACUACUUUGAGCAGGCCCAGCUGGCAAGCAAGACCCACGUGGCCACACGCUCAGUCCUCCCCCACAGUGGGAUGAGAGGAGAAAACGCAACAAGAAGCUUGCAGUGUCAAGACAAGCAGAGGGAGGAAUCACUCACCAGUUACCACCAUGGGCAAAACAGAGUUGACUCGGGGCGGGGGGGGAAUCAGUUCACUUUGUUACCAGAGUAGGAUAAUGAGAAA